CUCUACGGCAACCGCCUCAAAUUUAUACCCUUCAGCUCGAGGCUCUAGAACUGAUUGGUCACAACACCACUUACACGUGCUACAGUUCGCUUUUCUGCAGAGAAAGGCGCUGGAAACAAUUUAUUUCAUGUGACAAAGAAGCUUGCUGGUGCAGCUUCUGAAACAGCUUCCUGGGUUACCAGUGUUGGUAUGUUGGCUUUCCAGGAUGGCGGCCAGAUUGAUGACGCCGAAUCUUUGGGAUGGACCCCCGGAGGCACCUCCCAUCUCAUAGAGGCAUAGCGGUCCCAGCUGGAGGGGAAGCACGGAUGCUCGGCCCGACUGUUGCCAAGGCGAUACAGAGGAUCUCCUGAGGAUCCCCUGGGAAUCUCCUGGGAAGAGUGGAGGCUCCACUGGUGCAAUGAUCCUGCCAGUCCUCACUACAGCUGUUGCUUUCCUUUUCCCCUAGCUGGGUCGUAACCUAAAGACUGCCCACAUACCAUCAUGGCUGCAGUGAACUGAAACCUGGCUCUGUGAGCAGUCUGCCAUGAAGUUAUCUACUGAAAUGAGCAUGCUCACCAGCCAGCCCCAACCUGUCCUGUGUUGUAAUACCACUUUGUGACACUAGACGCUGUGUGAGUCAGUGGAGCGUCAAGUCUGCUCUCAGUCCCACGAAGAAGAACAACUUCCUGCAGAGCUUGAAGUUAUCAUCACAGAAACACAGAAAUGGCUGAACCUCCUGAAAGGCGAUAUUCAUCUGCAUCCCGAAAGACCGCUGCCGACAAGAAACCUCGUUCAACGGCGAAGAAAAGAAGCAACACGAGUAACUCUCGAUGUGGUUUUCCACCGCUGGAGACAGCUCCUGAGAGUAAAGAGAUGCGGUUUGAUGCCGAGCUCGCAACUUUCCUGUUAGCCUGGACCUGAGCCAGUACAGAUGCAGUGUCGCCUCCACCUGUCUCACCAACGGUAGAGUACAGACACAGCGACGAGGGACUAGGUGACAAAGACGCUCACUGGUGCUGCUUCUGAAACAGCUGCCUGGGUUACCAAUGUUGGUAUGUUGGCUUUCCAAGAUGGUGGCUGGAUUGACGACACCGCAUCUUCGAGGUGGACCCCCGGAGGUGACUAUUGUCACAUUGAGGCAUAGCGAUCCCAGCUGAAGGGUAAGCACAGGAUGCUCAGCCUGACUGUUGCCAAGGUGAUCCUGAGGAGUGGAGGCUCCACUGUUGGAGGAGGACACAUGGGGCGGAGGAGACGGCCCUCCUCAUCCAGGAUCUCCACUUCACCCUGGACGUCCCGUUGCUGGAUUCUCUCUGCAUCCAGGACAUAUGGAGUACACAGAGGCUCCACCUCAGCUCCACUCAGGACCCACCAGGUGUGCAGCAGAGACUGGUAGUCUGACAGAGGGUGGGCUCAGCCUUCUGGUUCCCACCUUAACCAGUUUAUCCCAGGUACAUGCGUGUGUCUCAUAGCUUGUGAUUAAGUAUAUUGUGUAUUAUCAUUUAAUGCAAACAAAAAAGGAGUGAAGUGCACACAACAAAGCAGCAGGCACAUUAAAAAUUUCUCCAGGAAUUUUCUAGUGUAAUAUAUAUUUCAACUAGUGCUCCCUAAAAUACAAAUUGUGUAUUGUUCAAUUUACUUUCAUAUCAAAAUUACCAUUUUUAAUUAGAAAUAUAAGGGAAUGGUGCAAAAAUGCUUUCCAGCUGUACGACAUGAUUGUUUCACAUGUUUUUCUGUAAUCACAAUCAAAACAUUAAUACAUCAAAGUUGCUUGGAAAACACUGCACUUUUAAGAUACCUAAUAUUUUAACUCAUAAAUACCUUCUUAAUAAUUUACACUUUUUGACCACAAGAUGGAGCCAUGGGCAAAAAUGUAAUUUAUACUGUUUAACUAAAGAGAUUCGAUGGCAGAAGCUUGAGGGAAGUUGUGGUUUGUGUUUUUGAUAACCAGAAGUGAUGGACUGAACUAUCUGGAGAUUUAUAUGGGCAGGAAAAAGAAGUCAUUGUGAUGUGACAUGUUAUUGAACUCCUGAAACCAAACCCAAGAAGUUGCGUAGCAGCUGUACAUCUUUGAAUGCUUAAAGGAAAAUGAAUGAAUUUAAUAGCAGACAAAAGAUUUUCAAAGAAAAUGUGUAUAACCUAUAAUUUAUGGUUAACAGGUUUAUGGUUGACAGUAUCACAAUCUACAAAUCAUUCAAUGUUUCAGCAAGAACCCCUGAAAAUCCCACAGUUCACUGCCAACUAUACGAGUCAUACUGUAAGAAAGCAGUAAAAUAAUUAUGCAAAUCUGGAGUUGGAGAGCAGAAAUUAUAAAUUCGAGGAGAUGAGGCACAAGUACAACAUGGCAGUGUACAAAGUAGGCGGUAUACAAAAGGCAAAUUCCAGGGAGGUUUAGAAAGGGAAAGGAACGGGCGGUUAGUCAGGUUGUCAGAUGUCCUAAAUGAGUUUUGAAUCAGACCAUAAAUACUGACACAGUGUCUGUUCCCCUGACAAUGGCAGGAAGCUUGUUCAGAAGGGAGGAGGUCAUAGAGGAAAAGGUUCUGCCCCCUGAUGUUUCAAAUGUGAGGAGUAACAAGGAAUAUUUGUUUUUGAAUGAGUAAAUAUAAACUCCUGAAAACAAGGGCACUAGCAAAGUUGACAUAUACUACUUCUUCUAUUUAGUGGUGGAAUGUAACUAAGCACAUUUACACCGGUGCUAUACUUACAAUUUGAGUGUGCCGAUUAUAUGUUACCAUAUGCAUCCACUUUACUACAUUUUCAGAGGUACAUUUUGUACUUUUUACUCCAUUACGUUCAACAGCUCUCGUUACUUGUUACUUUUCAGAUUAAGAUUUUACAUAUAAAAUCUAUAAUGAUCUUAUGAAAUUACAUUAAAAAGUCCAACAGUAAAUAAAGUAGGUAGAAAUACUUCCACCUUGAACAGCUACGUAGCACAUCAGUCAUAUUUAGUCUGUUAAUUAAAUAUAUGAAAACACAAAAAUUAGCAACUAGGACCAGUUACUUCCAUACUGGUAGGUACAUGUUUCUGCUAAUACGUUUUUACAUUUACUGUUGAAUACAGAACAUUUCUACAUUGUGAUAAUACUACUUGAUGUGACAUAUCUGAACACUGAACAGCUGCUGCUCCUACUACUAAUAAUAAUGUGUACACUUUAAUCGUCUGAAUUCUAUAAUGAAGAAGAUGGAAUAAGAAAUGUGCAAAGUAGGUUUAUCUGUCUGAGGAUAACCUUGAUCUAAAUCAUCCAUAAGAGGGCAACAGAAACCACAUAUUUGUGUUUAGCAAAUGAUUGCAUUGCACUGGGCGUGGGUUGUUUGGGAUGGAUAUCUUCCAAUUUUACUCUUCAGUUUACUGGAAGCAUAAUGUGCUGAAUUGUGAAUUCACUACUACUCUCACUGUACAGUGCACAUGAAGGCACUUGAAAGCCUAAAUUUGUGUGUACAUACAUUGAAAGCAGGUAGGAUAAGCGCUGACGGACAGGUCUGACUAUUAAAAAUGUACUUUCAAAAUUUACUAUUUUUAUUGAAAGCUGCAAUAAACAGGGGCAACAUACUUGAUGCACACAGGAAUCUGUUAUUAACCACCUACUAGGUUUAUGCGUAAUGUGCCCCAUAUGUUGUUAGUAACAGAUGGGGAGUCUGAUAACUAAGGUUGUUUGGAGUGGUCCAGUGGCAUGUGGUUUGGUUUUUUAAAUUAAGUAAAAGGAAAGCCCACAUUUAGAUAGGAUUCAGAUGUGUUUCUGCAAUGAUUUAGGGCGUAAAACUCAGUAUUACAAAAAAAAGAACACUGUACAACAAUGAAAAUCAUCUUGUCUUUCCUGCUACUGGUAGGUAUUUUGAAGUCAAAGUGAGAACAUGUGAGAAACUGUCCUAGGUCCAUUUACAGUCAUGGCUGUGGUACCAAGAGCCAGCUGGAAUAAAGUUUUAACAUUGGGCUUGCCUUUUUUUGUGGCCUUCAUGCGAUUGUGAAAGUAUGAGGCAGCGGAUCCCUCGUUGUUCCGUCCAUCUGAUAACUCCCUGCAACUCAAGUCAGCAGCAGUCCAAAAACAAUCCCUGCCCAAAUCAAAUAUUUAGAGUGUCCCAAAGACAUUACUCGAAAAGAGACAAAGCAAAGGGGGAAUCCCACUGCGAUGAGAAGUUCUUCUUUUCAAGACCACUGCAACCUGACUCAAAGUCAAAUAAACAUGUAAAGCAGUUACAACAUAUAUAGCAGGCAUCAAGCGUUCUGGAUCUUUUAGUAUUUAAUUAAUUCCAUUGGCUGUACAAUGUCUCCUCAUGUUUACUAGCAGUCAUGAUGACAGUCUAUCUGAUCUACUGUGAAAGCCAUAAAUUUUAACAAGUCUGUGAAACAGCACAAUACUAUUGAAUCUAGUGACAACAUUUUUGUACUGGUAUUAACUAUAUUAGCAAGUGUAACAAAGCAUAUUAGUCAGUUGUUACCACAAGACGUAAGCUUGGCUGAUUUAUCAUUUAAAGAUUGUAUGGCUGCAUGUGUUUUCUUAUGGAACGGGCCGUGCUUCCUUUCUGUUUUUGCUUACCAAGAGUUCAGUCAAAUGGAACUACAGCAUAAAUGGCUAUAUGGUCACUUUGCAGUUUAUAAGUUGGCAUUUCUUACUAUUUUCUCUCAUGCAUUGUUUAUUGAAGUUAAUAGGUUAGUGCAUGGUAUAUAGAUGAUACAUUGAUUCAUUUAUCUAUGAAAGUUUCAUACCACUAAAAGAGAAGAGUACACAAAAAACAAAUAAAGAAUAUAUACUUACUCAAUGCUUGACCUCUAUGUAAAUGCAGUGACACAUAACCUUUACAUAAAACAACAGAGAUGAACACAUUCUUGCAAAAAUGACACUUAUAUAAGACAAAUUUGUCUAAAUGCAGCAUCUUUAUUGUCUCUGAAACAAUCUAAUACUGAGAUCAUUUAUACAGUAACACUUGGUGGCGUUUGCACUGACAGUAGCAUGCUAUCUCUGACAGAGCAUGGUUGGAUUUGACAACUAGUGCAAUCAACUGGGUCAAUACAAACCCAAGGACUCGAGUUAUAAUGCAAUGUGAUGAUGCUUCAGAUUGCAGGUAUUUUUGAUGCACUGUUACGCUUUCUAUUCCCCUUCAUCUCAGCUGUAUUCACAACCCUAACACAGUGUAAAUAAACAAAGUGGAACUCUUUAUUGGAGACAUGCAUAUGUAUGAGAUGUAAAAUAAUUUGAUCCCUUUGAGCGUUUCCUUGUCAACUCUCAAAAGCAGCACAUCAGUGUGUUUUUGUGUGUUUUCCACAACAAAAGUUUCCUUCCCUCUUUUCACAGGUGCCAUCUCAUUAGUGGUAAAUCACGAUGUUGACAUUUAUGUUGUACCCAGUCACACAGCAUCUCCUUUGCACUGGAAGUCUGAUAUCACAGCAAAGCAAUGCAGUGUUUGUUCAGGACGGUAUGAGAAAUUUCACACACAGAAAUCAUUCUGCGUGCAGUUUAGUGCUUGUGAUUUGGGGGCUGUGGGGUGCUGAAAUGAAAGGAUGUGACAAAAAUGUCUUCUGAGAGCUGUAAAAAAUAUUUUACAUCCUAAUGUUGGAAGCCAACUAAAAUUUAAAUGUGGGAAUGGCUGAGAAGCCAAAUAUAUAAUUGAUGUGUAUCGUGAUUACAUAUCUAACAUCUGGUCUUGUGAGAUUAUGAUGACAAUAAAGAGCUUAAAAUGAAAAACAA
Molecule: long non-coding RNA, 5660 nt
Organism: Seriola aureovittata
Lineage: Eukaryota; Metazoa; Chordata; Actinopteri; Carangiformes; Carangidae
Exons: 5
Source: RefSeq, a predicted model, not a curated record